GCCGCGAGGUAGAGCAAAUCUCAAAAAAACAAUCUCAGUUCAGACUGCAGGCUGCAACUCGCCUGCACGAAGUCGGAAUUGCUAGUAAUCGUAGGUCAGCAUACUACGGUGAAUACGUUCCCGGGCCUUGUACACACCGCCCGUCACACCAUGGGAGUCGGAAAUGCCCGAAGCCUAUGAGCUAACUUUUAGAGGCAGUAGUCGAAGGUAGAAUCAAUGAUUGGGGUGAAGUCGUAACAAGGUAGC
Molecule: ribosomal RNA, 246 nt
Filed under: uncultured bacterium
Lineage: Bacteria
Description: partial 16S ribosomal RNA
Rfam family: Bacterial small subunit ribosomal RNA
Source: RNAcentral